GCGGUAAAACCAGCACCUCAAGUGGUCAGCAUGAUUAUUGGGCCUAAAGCGUCCGUAGCCUGUUCUGUAAGUUUUCGGGUAAAUCCAUCAGCUCAACUUAUGGGCUUCCGAAAAUACUGCAGGACUAGGGAGUGGGAGAGGUAUGCGGUACUCGGUAGGAAGGGGUAAAAUCCUGUCAUCUAUUGAUGACCACCUGUGGCGAAGGCGGCCUACCAGAACGCGUUCGACGGUCAGGGAUGAAACCUGGGGGAGCAAACCGGAUUAGAUACCCGGGUAGUCCCUAGCUGUAAACGAUGCGAACUCGAUGAUGCGUUGGCUUGUUGCUAGCGCAGUGUCGCAGGGAAGCCGUUAAGUCCGCCGCCUGGGAAGUACGUUCGCAAGUAUGAAACUUAAAGGAAUUGGCGGGGGAGCACCACAAGGGGGGAAGCCUGCGGUUCAAUUGGAGCACGGCCCGGA
This 456-nucleotide ribosomal RNA is filed under the name uncultured archaeon. RNAcentral describes it as "bacterial SSU rRNA". It matches the Rfam family "Archaeal small subunit ribosomal RNA", at positions 467 to 922 of the family's 1478-position model. The record is from RNAcentral.